Molecule: long non-coding RNA, 218 nt
Filed under: Elaeis guineensis (African oil palm)
Lineage: Eukaryota; Viridiplantae; Streptophyta; Magnoliopsida; Arecales; Arecaceae
Description: long non-coding RNA (EGUI_LNC038385)
Source: RNAcentral
CCCCCCCUUUUUUUUUUUUACCUUCAAGCGUCACAUUGGACCCAUCCUUCACCAAUACCACUUGCAUCUUUAAUUCUAAAGUGUAAAGAUGGUGCCGUUAGAUCUUAGAAUCUCGAAUUUGGUCGAACUGCCUAAUGUAUAUAGCAAACAAUCUACUAUUUUUCUCUGCCUAGCGACCAGUUCCGAUGCCAAUUGCUGCAAUCCAAUAAUAGCCGACC